This 985-nucleotide ribosomal RNA is filed under the name Chryseobacterium aquaticum. Its description in RNAcentral is "bacterial SSU rRNA". It matches the Rfam family "Bacterial small subunit ribosomal RNA", at positions 372 to 1362 of the family's 1533-position model. Lineage: Bacteria; Pseudomonadati; Bacteroidota; Flavobacteriia; Flavobacteriales; Weeksellaceae. The record is from RNAcentral.
UGGGUGAGAGCCUGAUCCAGCCAUCCCGCGUGAAGGACGACUGCCCUAUGGGUUGUAAACUUCUUUUAUACUGGGAUAAACCUACUCUCGUGAGGGUAGCUGAAGGUACAGUAUGAAUAAGCACCGGCUAACUCCGUGCCAGCAGCCGCGGUAAUACGGAGGGUGCAAGCGUUAUCCGGAUUUAUUGGGUUUAAAGGGUCCGUAGGCGGACUCGUAAGUCAGUGGUGAAAUCUCAUAGCUUAACUAUGAAACUGCCAUUGAUACUGCGGGUCUUGAGUAAAGUAGAAGUGGCUGGAAUAAGUAGUGUAGCGGUGAAAUGCAUAGAUAUUACUUAGAACACCAAUUGCGAAGGCAGGUCACUAUGUUUUAACUGACGCUGAUGGACGAAAGCGUGGGGAGCGAACAGGAUUAGAUACCCUGGUAGUCCACGCCGUAAACGAUGCUAACUCGUUUUUGGGUUUUCGGAUUCAGAGACUAAGCGAAAGUGAUAAGUUAGCCACCUGGGGAGUACGUUCGCAAGAAUGAAACUCAAAGGAAUUGACGGGGGCCCGCACAAGCGGUGGAUUAUGUGGUUUAAUUCGAUGAUACGCGAGGAACCUUACCAAGGCUUAAAUGGGAAUUGACAGGUUUAGAAAUAGACUUUCCUUCGGGCAAUUUUCAAGGUGCUGCAUGGUUGUCGUCAGCUCGUGCCGUGAGGUGUUAGGUUAAGUCCUGCAACGAGCGCAACCCCUGUCACUAGUUGCCAUCAUUCAGUUGGGGACUCUAGUGAGACUGCCUACGCAAGUAGAGAGGAAGGUGGGGAUGACGUCAAAUCAUCACGGCCCUUACGCCUUGGGCCACACACGUAAUACAAUGGCCGGUACAGAGGGCAGCUACUAUGCGAAUAGAUGCGAAUCUCGAAAGCCGGUCUCAGUUCGGAUUGGAGUCUGCAACUCGACUCUAUGAAGCUGGAAUCGCUAGUAAUCGCGCAUCAGCCAUGGCGCGG